Molecule: ribosomal RNA, 429 nt
Filed under: Acidobacteriota bacterium
Lineage: Bacteria; Pseudomonadati; Acidobacteriota
Description: Acidobacteria bacterium partial 16S ribosomal RNA
Rfam family: Bacterial small subunit ribosomal RNA
Source: RNAcentral
UGGGGAAUUUUGGACAAUGGGGGAAACCCUGAUCCAGCCAUCCCGCGUGUGCGAUGAAGGCCUUCGGGUUGUAAAGCACUUUUGGCAGGAAAGAAACGUCAUGGGUUAAUACCCCGUGAAACUGACGGUACCUGCAGAAUAAGCACUGGCUAACUACGUGCCAGCAGCCGCGGUAAUACGUAGGGUGCAAGCGUUAAUCGGAAUUACUGGGCGUAAAGCGUGCGCAGGCGGUUCGGAAAGAAAGAUGUGAAAUCCCAGAGCUCAACUUUGGAACUGCAUUUUUAACUACCGGGCUAGAGUGUGUCAGAGGGAGGUGGAAUUCCGCGUGUAGCAGUGAAAUGCGUAGAUAUGCGGAGGAACACCGAUGGCGAAGGCGGCCUCCUGGGAUAACACUGACGAUCAUGCACGAAAGCGUGGGGAGCGAACAGG